RNAcentral lists this ribosomal RNA (462 nucleotides) under uncultured bacterium. Its description in RNAcentral is "bacterial SSU rRNA". It matches the Rfam family "Bacterial small subunit ribosomal RNA", at positions 791 to 1242 of the family's 1533-position model. The record is from RNAcentral.
UAGUCCCAGCCGUAAACGAUGUGCACUUGGUGUGGGGGGUGUUUGUCCCCUCCGUGCCGGAGCUAACGCGUUAAGUGCACCGCCUGGGGAGUACGGCCGCAAGGCUAAAACUCAAAGGAAUUGACGGGGCCCGCACAAGCGGUGGAGCAUGUGGCUUAAUUCGAUGCAACGCGAAGAACCUUACCAGGGCUUGACAUGUAGCUGCACGCCUCGCGAAAGCGGGGAAGCCUUCGAGGGUGCUACACAGGUGCUGCAUGGCUGUCGUCAGCUCGUGCCGUGAGGUGUUGGGUUAAGUCCCGCAACGAGCGCAACCCUUAUGAUUAGUUGCUACCAGAAGCUUGCUUGCUGAGCACUCUAAUCAGACUGCCCGUGACAAGCGGGGAGGAAGGGUGGGGGAUGACGUCAAGUCAGUAUGGUCCUUACGCCCUGGGGCUGCACACGUGCUACAAUGGGACGGUAUAA